Non-coding RNA from Suillus placidus, 83 nucleotides. NCBI's taxonomy places the organism in Eukaryota, Fungi, Basidiomycota, Agaricomycetes, Boletales, Suillaceae. The record is from the annotation of a GenBank genome assembly.
UCGGAUAUGGUGUAAUGGUUAACAUUACCGCCUCUCAUCGAUGAAUUUCGCGGUAGCUCGGGGUUCGAUUCCCCGUAUCCGAA